GCGGACGGGUGAGUAAUGCUUGGGAACUUGCCUUUGCGAGGGGGAUAACAGUUGGAAACGACUGCUAAUACCGCAUAAUGUCUUCGGACCAAACGGGGCUUCNGCUCCGGCGCAAAGAGAGGCCCAAGUGAGAUUAGCUAGUUGGUAAGGUAACGGCUUACCAAGGCGACGAUCUCUAGCUGUUCUGAGAGGAAGAUCAGCCACACUGGGACUGAGACACGGCCCAGACUCCUACGGGAGGCAGCAGUGGGGAAUAUUGCACAAUGGGGGAAACCCUGAUGCAGCCAUGCCGCGUGUGUGAAGAAGGCCUUCGGGUUGUAAAGCACUUU
Molecule: ribosomal RNA, 329 nt
Filed under: Alteromonas sp.
Lineage: Bacteria; Pseudomonadati; Pseudomonadota; Gammaproteobacteria; Alteromonadales; Alteromonadaceae
Description: bacterial SSU rRNA
Rfam family: Bacterial small subunit ribosomal RNA
Source: RNAcentral